This is a long non-coding RNA of Polyodon spathula (Mississippi paddlefish), 749 nucleotides long. RefSeq lists it as uncharacterized. Lineage: Eukaryota; Metazoa; Chordata; Actinopteri; Acipenseriformes; Polyodontidae. The transcript is spliced from 3 exons. The record is from RefSeq and is a predicted model, not a curated record.
AAUACUUGUUUUAUUUCUUUUUAGCAAUAUGGACCUCUAUUAAUAUGAAGUAUAACACAUUAUUUUAAAAUAGAGUGCAUGGUUGCUAUGGUAUUAAUUUGCACUGUUCAUUGCGCUGCUGGGAGCUGUAACAGAACUGUUCUAACAGUGUGUGGACUCAUUAAACCCGACUCAAUCGGUUCUGAGAUCGGUUAUGUAGUGUGGACAGGGCCUUAGUGUGUAUGAUGCUAAGCUCUGUUACCUGGACAGGGCCUUAGUGUGUAUGAUGCUAAGCUCUGUUACCCCACGAAUACACCCCACUGUAAAACAAUGUCAAGAGUUUGGAAUUAGUGGAGAACCAAGCCACACCCAUCCUAAUGAUAAUCUCUUUCGCUGUCAUGCUUGCAUUAAGACACAAGACAAAGAGCACACUUCAAGUAGCUGGUAGUGCUGCUCACUCAGCCGGUCUGCUGGUUUGUUAAGGUGAGGGUUAGGGGUCAGCCUGUCUGCUGGUUCGUUAGGGUGAGGGUGAGGGUGAGGGUGAGGGGUCAGCCUGUCUGCUGGUUUGUUAGGGUGAGGGUGAGGGUGAGGGGUCAGCCUGUCUGCUGGUUUGUUAGGGUGAGGGUUAGGGUGAGGGUGAGGGGUCAGCCUGUCUGCUGGUUCGUUAGGGUGAGGGUGAGGGGUCAGCCUGUCUGCUGGUUUGUUAGGGUGAGGGUUAGGGUGAGGGUGAGGGGUCAGCCUGUCUGCUGGUUUGUUAGGGUGAGGGUUAG